AUGGCUGUCAGGCUCCUCUGCUCUGUGGCCCUUUACCUCUUGGGAGCAGGCUUCUUGGAUGCUGAUAUUUACCAGACCCCAAGAUACUGUGUGAUAGGGAAGGGAAAGAAGAUUACUCUAGAAUGUUCUCAAACUAUGGGCCUUGACAACAUGUACUGGUAUCAGCAAGACCCAGGAAUGGAACUGCAGCUGAUCCAUUAUUCAUACAGGGUAAAUACCAUGGAGAAAGGAGAGCGCUCUUCAGAAUAAGCAAAGAGCACUUUCCCCUGACGCUAGAGACCGCCAACUCCUCGCAGACAUCUAGCUACUUCUGCGCCAGCGGUGACGACACAGGCCCCCACAGAUUGCACAAAAAGGCAGUCACAAAAGCGAAGAAGUCCCACCUGCUUAAACCUCACCUCAAACUACGGAAGCUACUGCAAAUCUCCUGGACACCUCAGCCCUGA
Non-coding RNA from Bubalus bubalis (water buffalo), 446 nucleotides. NCBI's taxonomy places the organism in Eukaryota, Metazoa, Chordata, Mammalia, Artiodactyla, Bovidae. The record is from the annotation of a RefSeq genome assembly.